This 260-nucleotide long non-coding RNA is filed under the name Capra hircus (goat). RNAcentral's name for it is "lncRNA (ENSCHIG00000004947.1)". The record is from RNAcentral. Lineage: Eukaryota; Metazoa; Chordata; Mammalia; Artiodactyla; Bovidae.
ACUGUCUCCCCACAUCCAACUAUUAACCUGAUCUCACUUCUUGUCUUAAUACCCUAACAUUCCUAGGUUAGACUUGUCUGGACUUGGGGCAGGCUUUUGUUUUCCUGAUCGGUUCCCGUGAAAAGUUAUGGAACUGAGAGACUCAUCAGGAGAUGGUUAAGCAGCUUGAGCCCUCCUGAGUUUCCCCAGAGGUAAGGGUCAGGGGUCAAGAUGGAUAGAUCCUCAAGGCUUCUUCACCCCAGACCUACUUCUGUAAAUAC